AUAUCUCAGUUAAAUAUUACUACAUAAACUGUCUGUUCUUAAAUCAGUUUAAUAUCUGAUAUAUCUUUUAUUUAAGAACAGGAUAUUAAAUAGAUUUUUGGAGCAGGGAGUUGGAAUAGAAGCUUGCUCUGUCCAUGGACUCCACAUGGGCCUGGUAUUGUAAUACAUCCAGGAAUGGUGCAACUUCU
This is a small nuclear RNA of Perognathus longimembris pacificus (Pacific pocket mouse), 188 nucleotides long. RefSeq annotates it as U2 spliceosomal RNA. The record is from RefSeq and is a predicted model, not a curated record. The transcript has a single exon. NCBI's taxonomy places the organism in Eukaryota, Metazoa, Chordata, Mammalia, Rodentia, Heteromyidae.